This 492-nucleotide ribosomal RNA is filed under the name uncultured bacterium. RNAcentral's name for it is "partial 16S ribosomal RNA". It matches the Rfam family "Bacterial small subunit ribosomal RNA", at positions 29 to 507 of the family's 1533-position model. The record is from RNAcentral.
AGUGAACGCUGGCGGUAGGCCUAACACAUGCAAGUCGAACGGCAGCACAGUAAGAGCUUGCUCUUACGGGUGGCGAGUGGCGGACGGGUGAUGAAUACAUCGGAAUCUACUUUUUCGUGGGGGAUAACGUAGGGACACUUACGCUAAUACCGCAUACGACCUACGGGUGAAAGCAGGGGAUCUUCGGACCUUGCGCGAUUGAAUGAGCCGAUGUCGGAUUAGCUAGUUGGCGGGGUAAAGGCCCACCAAGGCGACGAUCCGUAGCUGGUCUGAGAGGAUGAUCAGCCACACUGGAACUGAGACACGGUCCAGACUCCUACGGGAGGCAGCAGUGGGGAAUAUUGGACAAAGGGCGCAAGCCUGAUCCAGCCAUACCGCGUGGGUGAAGAAGGCCUUCGGGUUGUAAAGCCCUUUUGUUGGGAAAGAAAAGCAGAAGGUUAAUACCCCGCUGUUCUGACGGUACCCAAAGAAUAAGCACCGGCUAACUUCGUG